CAUACCACCCAGGGCUUAAGUCACUCACCCAAAGUCAGGGCUGUUAUUCUCCUCACAGGCCUCAAUUCAUGAGAUUUUUACCCACGCAUCUGCUUUCAGUGUGGUUUGCCUGAGAUACCACCAGGAAUGACUCUGGAUUUGUCUCCCUAACAGGAGAGGUAUCCUUGGAAGUGGUACCAGCAGCUGUGACCCCUGAAGUUGGGACAGUGUUGACAUGGCAACCAAGAGGUUACCUAAUUGGCCCCAGGACACUAUGUGAAUUGCUACUGUUAAUGCCCCAUCAUUACUUCCAUCGUGUAUCUAGUGUGAUGACUCUGACCUGCUACAACUCAGGACAUCAGCUUAUUUGGCUUUUUUCAUCAGGCCUUGCUGCUGGCUUUUGAGUAUUGUAGGUGUGAUUCUGUUAUUGUUUACCUAUUGUGAAAUCUUAACACUCAAACCUUCUAGAGCCAAAAUCAUAAGCGACAGAGAAGAAACAAAACCAGAAAUGAAACAAAGGGGGAUGAAGUGGGGUGGCAGCAAGCCGCCACCUGUGAGUGACAAUGGCGGGGUGUCCCACAAGAUGGUGCUCAUAUAUUUAAUUGCUACAGAACGUGCAGUCAGAACCAUCCCUACUUUAGAAGGGAGAAAAACGAAACUCUGCGGGUGCUGAGUCUCCGUGGCCAUAGCGACAUCCGGCCACAGCUACUCAUGACUGACUGCUCUGCUAGCUGGGCCGCCCCGGGUUCCUUUUCAGGAACUGCUGACACAUCACCUCAUUUCUAAGGCUUUGACCUCCUCCACAUACCCCUUAGAUCUUUUAGUGAUUAAAGUCAACAUUAAAAAAAGAGAAACUUCAUUUACUUUCCUCCAGUCUGAGG
Molecule: long non-coding RNA, 860 nt
Organism: Camelus dromedarius (Arabian camel)
Lineage: Eukaryota; Metazoa; Chordata; Mammalia; Artiodactyla; Camelidae
Exons: 3
Source: RefSeq, a predicted model, not a curated record